This 400-nucleotide ribosomal RNA is filed under the name uncultured bacterium. RNAcentral's name for it is "bacterial SSU rRNA". It matches the Rfam family "Bacterial small subunit ribosomal RNA", at positions 356 to 773 of the family's 1533-position model. The record is from RNAcentral.
GGGGGAUAUUGCACAAUGGAGGAAACUCUGAUGCAGCAACGCCGCGUGAGGGAAGACGGUUUUCGGAUUGUAAACCUCUGUCCUCAGGGACGAUAAUGACGGUACCUGAGGAGGAAGCUCCGGCUAACUACGUGCCAGCAGCCGCGGUAAUACGUAGGGAGCAAGCGUUGUCCGGAUUUACUGGGUGUAAAGGGUGCGUAGGCGGCUCUGCAAGUCAGGCGUGAAAACUAUGGGCUUAACCCAUAGACUGCGUUUUAAACUGUGGGGCUUGAGUGAAGUAGAGGUAGGCGGAAUUCCCUGUGUAGCGGUGAAAUGCGUAGAGAUCGGGAGGAACACCAGUGGCGAAGGCGGCCUGCUGGGCCUUAACUGACGCUGAGGCACGAAAGCAUGGGUAGCAAAC